This 247-nucleotide ribosomal RNA is filed under the name uncultured bacterium. RNAcentral describes it as "partial 16S ribosomal RNA". It matches the Rfam family "Bacterial small subunit ribosomal RNA", at positions 523 to 769 of the family's 1533-position model. The record is from RNAcentral.
AUACGGAAGGUGCAAGCGUUAAUCGGAAUCACUGGGCGUAAAGCGCUCGUAGGUGGCUUUGUAAGUCAGGUGUGAAAGCCCACGGCUCAACCGUGGAAUUGCACUUGAUACUGCAUUGCUUGAGUUCGGGAGAGGGUAGUGGAAUUCCAGGUGUAGGAGUGAAAUCCGUAGAGAUCUGGAGGAACACCAGUGGCGAAGGCGACUACCUGGACUGUAACUGACGCUGAAGCACGAAAGCGUGGGGAGC